RNAcentral lists this ribosomal RNA (697 nucleotides) under Bacillus sp. (in: firmicutes). RNAcentral describes it as "bacterial SSU rRNA". It matches the Rfam family "Bacterial small subunit ribosomal RNA", at positions 73 to 755 of the family's 1533-position model. The record is from RNAcentral. Lineage: Bacteria; Bacillati; Bacillota; Bacilli; Caryophanales; Bacillaceae.
GAGGUGCUUGCACCUCUUGGUUAGCGGCGGACGGGUGAGUAACACGUGGGCAACCUGCCUGUAAGACUGGGAUAACUUCGGGAAACCGGAGCUAAUACCGGAUAAUCCUUUUCCUCUCAUGAGGAAAAGCUGAAAGUCGGUUUCGGCUGACACUUACAGAUGGGCCCGCGGCGCAUUAGCUAGUUGGUGAGGUAACGGCUCACCAAGGCGACGAUGCGUAGCCGACCUGAGAGGGUGAUCGGCCACACUGGGACUGAGACACGGCCCAGACUCCUACGGGAGGCAGCAGUAGGGAAUCUUCCGCAAUGGACGAAAGUCUGACGGAGCAACGCCGCGUGAGCGAUGAAGGCCUUCGGGUCGUAAAGCUCUGUUGUUAGGGAAGAACAAGUACCGGAGUAACUGCCGGUACCUUGACGGUACCUAACCAGAAAGCCACGGCUAACUACGUGCCAGCAGCCGCGGUAAUACGUAGGUGGCAAGCGUUGUCCGGAAUUAUUGGGCGUAAAGCGCGCGCAGGCGGUCCUUUAAGUCUGAUGUGAAAGCCCACGGCUCAACCGUGGAGGGUCAUUGGAAACUGGGGGACUUGAGUACAGAAGAGGAAAGCGGAAUUCCACGUGUAGCGGUGAAAUGCGUAGAGAUGUGGAGGAACACCAGUGGCGAAGGCGGCUUUCUGGUCUGUAACUGACGCUGAGGCGCG